Molecule: long non-coding RNA, 342 nt
Filed under: Monodelphis domestica (gray short-tailed opossum)
Lineage: Eukaryota; Metazoa; Chordata; Mammalia; Didelphimorphia; Didelphidae
Description: lncRNA (ENSMODG00000041840.1)
Source: RNAcentral
GAUGCUCUUCUAUUUUUCUGAGACUGACAGUUGCUGUGCUUGCUGGCAGAUGUUUUGCUGGGUUUUCCUUUUUCAAAUGUGAAUAAGAAUUUCCAACCUAUGACUUGAAGAUUCAGUGUUUAUUCACAGAUAAGAAAUGGCAGAAAAACAAAUGGAAAGAAAGGCCUUCCAUCAUAUAUUUCUCUGGAAUGGAAGAAGGAAUGCUUGGAGAAUGCUACCUGAAGGCGGAGGCUGUGCAAGAGCUUUGAAAAAGAAAGAUUCUCUCUAUGAGAGGCACACUUGGUGAGAGAUGCCUUUGAGACCCAAAAUAAACAUGUGGCAUGACAAAGAAAGAUCCUGGAA